RNAcentral lists this ribosomal RNA (274 nucleotides) under uncultured bacterium. RNAcentral's name for it is "partial 16S ribosomal RNA". It matches the Rfam family "Bacterial small subunit ribosomal RNA", at positions 523 to 796 of the family's 1533-position model. The record is from RNAcentral.
AUACGGAGGGUGCGAGCGUUAAUCGGAAUUACUGGGCGUAAAGGGUACGUAGGCGGUUAUGUCAGUCAGAUGUGAAAGCCCCGGGCUUAACCUGGGAAUUGCAUUUGAUACUGCAUAGCUAGAGUUUGAUAGAGGGGAGCGGAAUUCCCGGUGUAGCGGUGAAAUGCGUAGAGAUCGGGAGGAACACCAGUGGCGAAGGCGGCUCUCUGGACCAAAACUGACGCUGAGGUACGAAAGCGUGGGUAGCAAACAGAAUUAGAAACCCCUGUAGUCC